RNAcentral lists this ribosomal RNA (433 nucleotides) under uncultured bacterium. Its description in RNAcentral is "partial 16S ribosomal RNA". It matches the Rfam family "Bacterial small subunit ribosomal RNA", at positions 29 to 507 of the family's 1533-position model. The record is from RNAcentral.
AACGAACGCUGGCGGCAGGCCUAACACAUGCAAGUCGAGCGCGCCCUUCGGGGUGAGCGGCGGACGGGGGAGUAACGCGUGGGAACGUGCCCUUUUCUACGGGAUAGCCUCGGGAAACUGAGAGUAAUACCGUAUAAGCCCUUUGGGGGAAAGAUUUAUCGGAAAAGGAUGGGCCCGCGUUGGAUUAGGUAGUUGGUGGGGUAAUGGCCUACCAAGCCGUGGAUCCAUAGCUGGUUUGAGAGGAUGAUCAGCCACUCUGGGACUGAGACACGGCCCAGACUCCUACGGGAUGCAGCAGAGGGGAAUCUUAGACAAUGGCGUCAACCCUGAUCGAGUCAGGCCGGGUGAGUGAUGAAGUCCUUAGGGUUGUAAAGCUCUUUCAGCUGGGAAGAUAAUGACGGUACCAGCAGAAGAAGCCCCGGCUAACUCCGUG